Molecule: ribosomal RNA, 253 nt
Filed under: uncultured bacterium
Lineage: Bacteria
Description: partial 16S ribosomal RNA
Rfam family: Bacterial small subunit ribosomal RNA
Source: RNAcentral
GACAGAGGGUGCAAACGCUGCUCGGAAUUACUGGGCGUAAAGCGCGUGUAGGCGGUCACGCAAGUCAGGUGUGAAAGCCCAGGGCUCAACCCUGGAAGUGCACAUGAUACUACGUGGCUGGAGUACUGAAGAGGAGAGCGGAAUUCCCGGUGUAGAGGUGAAAUUCGUAGAUAUCGGGAGGAACACCAGUGGCGAAGGCGGCUCUCUGGGCAGAUACUGACGCUGAGACGCGAAAGCGUGGGUAGCAAACAGG